GCGACGAGGAGACGCGGCCGGCUCCCCUCGACGUGUGCUGGAUCGGCCGGCCCGCCCGACGAGCAGGAUAAGGGGGGCAAUGCUGGAUCGGGCAUGACCGUGAAUCUCGAGUGUUCAAGAUUCCGUGUGCCGCGGCCUCCGAUGGCCAAGGGACACAAAUGUUCUUUACCAAUUUGCUGCUCUGCCUUGCAGAUGGCCAGUUGCUAGAUUGACCCAUUGAUUAUGGGGAGUACGUACCUGACAUGUCAAAGAAUUUCUCACAAGUAAUUAGCCAGCCAAUCGGAUCCUCUCCACUGAAUAAUGGAAUUUCCAGUCUAGGCCCUCUCAAUGUAGCUUCAGCAAAAUAUGAAGGUCCUCCUAACUGAGUUGCAUGCUGGUUCCUUUGUGCAUCAUAUAAUUGUCCAGCAGCUUGGUACACCUGGGGCUGCAUUUGACUGGUUGGAGCAGUAUCUAUGAACUGCCCUGUGAUUGUGUUGUAGGUGUCGGGAGGGACAUAAACAGGAGCUGACAAAGGGGAAUAAUGCCCACUGUUACCUGUAAAACCCAUGGCCUGUGCCCUUGUCAUUUUUGCUAAUUUCCUGUGGGGCCAUUCAAAAUUGUGGAUGUUCAGGCAAUGGAUGUUGCCUGACUGUGGUAGUGUGAGUACUGUCAGUAAACAAAUUCAUAUUCACUGAGGGCAUGCUAGUUGUGGCCCCUGGGAUAUGUAUGCUAGGAGCAGAACUCUGUAACUCAAAGGCUGCGUUCAAAUUAUUUGUAACAGUA
Molecule: non-coding RNA, 762 nt
Organism: Triticum urartu
Lineage: Eukaryota; Viridiplantae; Streptophyta; Magnoliopsida; Poales; Poaceae
Source: RefSeq, a predicted model, not a curated record